This 210-nucleotide ribosomal RNA is filed under the name uncultured bacterium. RNAcentral describes it as "partial 16S ribosomal RNA". It matches the Rfam family "Bacterial small subunit ribosomal RNA", at positions 524 to 733 of the family's 1533-position model. The record is from RNAcentral.
UACGUAGGGUGCGAGCGUUGUCCGGAAUUAUUGGGCGUAAAGAGCUUGUAGGCGGUUUGUCGCGUCUGCUGUGAAAUCUCAAGGCUCAACCUUGAGCUUGCAGUGGGUACGGGGCAGACUAGAGUGUGGUAGGGGAGACUGGAAUCCUGGUGUAGCGGUGAAAUGCGCAGAUAUCAGGAGGAACACCGAUGGCGAAGGCAGGUCUCUGGG